This 868-nucleotide small RNA is filed under the name Pan troglodytes (chimpanzee). RNAcentral describes it as "retained intron". Lineage: Eukaryota; Metazoa; Chordata; Mammalia; Primates; Hominidae. The record is from RNAcentral.
GCGGGCCUGGCAUCCUGCACCUGCCGCCCCUUCCUUAGCCACCUGGCGCAGGGCAAUGAGGACUGUGUAGGUGCCAAGCAGGCUGCUGUAGUGCAGGUGUUGAAGAAGUUGGCCACCCGCAAGCUCACAGGGCCAAAGGUUGUAGAGCUGUGUCACUGUGUGGAUGAGACACAGGAGCCUGAGCUGGCCAGUCUCACCGCACAAAGCCUCCCCUAUCAACUGCCCUUCCACAAUUUCCCACUGACCUGCACCGACCUGGCCACCCUGACCAACAUCCUAGAGCACAGGGAGGCCCCCAUCCACCUGGAUUUUGAUGGCUGUCCCCUGGAGCCCCACUGCCCUGAGGCUCUGGUAGGCUGUGGGCAGAUAGAGAAUCUCAGCUUUAGGAGCAGGAAGUGUGGGGACACCUUUGCAGAAGCCCUCUCCAGGAGCUUGCCGACAAUGGGGAGGCUGCAGAUGCUGGGGUGAGCCAGGCCUUGGAGCUGAGAAGGGUCUUCAGCUGGGGAUGCCUGGUACUCUCCUCCCUCUCCUUAAUCCUACACAAGGCAGAUUCCUGGCCCCGCCCUUUUCCCCUCCUCGUUCCUCCCCACCAUCUUUGCUUACUCUGUAGGUUAGCAGGAAGUAAAAUCACUGCCCGAGGCAUCAGCCACCUGGUGAAAGCUUUGCCUCUCUGUCCACAGCUGAAAGAAGUCAGUUUUCGGGACAACCAGCUCAGUGACCAGGUGGUGCUGAACAUUGUGGAGGUUCUCCCUCACCUACCACGGCUCCGGAAGCUUGACCUGAGCAGCAACAGCAUCUGCGUGUCAACCCUACUCUGCUUGGCAAGGGUGGCAGUCACGUGUCCUACCGUCAGGAUGCUUCAGGCCAG